GAAUGCAGCGUUCGAAGGAGGGGAUCGUGAAUUCACAGUUGUGCUCGAUCAGAAACGAAACGCGCAUGCGUGUUGUUUCGUAAAGUUGUCUGUUACGUUGGAGAAACUCGAGAGGAUCAGAAAAUUUUGUGUAACCGUGUUCUCGUCGACGUCGAUCAUCGUCUUCUCGGCGAUACUUCUUUACCGACAGUUUCAAACGAUCAUUGGAAGAAACGACAAAGUGUUUACGUGAACCGUAGCGGAAAUCGACUUCUGGUUCGUUUACACUCGAGACUGUUUACAAUCGUAUAUAACAAAAAUAUUCUGGAUUUACUUCGCUCCAUUCGCUGGCAUAGUAUGGACCUUGAUGACCAAAGAACUGCAACAAGAACAAGCAAAAUUCUUUUUCACAAAGAUUCAUUCAAAGAGUACAAACUGCAAGCGAUAAUAAUAUCAAUAUACAUGGAGCAUUUGCCGAUUCAAUUAUCUAUAAAAUGAGAGGAAUUUCUGUCAAAGGUGCAGCAUGUUCGUAUAACGGCAAGAUAUGAAUUUGUUAAAUCUUUCAAUGUUAUAUAAUAUAUAACAAAGAUACGACAAAUUAGAGUAAUUUAAUUUUAUCAACAAAAAUACAACAUCUAUGUCACUAUACAUUUACAUUUAUAUCAAAGCAUAUUAAAUUAAUUUAAAAG
RNAcentral lists this unclassified non-coding RNA (668 nucleotides) under Bombus terrestris (buff-tailed bumblebee). RNAcentral describes it as "misc RNA ENSBTSG00005031931.1". Lineage: Eukaryota; Metazoa; Arthropoda; Insecta; Hymenoptera; Apidae. The record is from RNAcentral.